Molecule: ribosomal RNA, 301 nt
Filed under: uncultured bacterium
Lineage: Bacteria
Description: partial 16S ribosomal RNA
Rfam family: Bacterial small subunit ribosomal RNA
Source: RNAcentral
CAGUAGCCGCGGUAAUACAGAGGGUGCGAGCGUUAAUCGGAUUUACUGGGCGUAAAGCGCACGUAGGCGGAUAUUUAAGUCAGGGGUGAAAUCCCGCAGCUCAACUGCGGAACUGCCUUUGAUACUGGGUAUCUUGAGUAUGGAAGAGGUUAGUGGAAUUGCGAGUGUAGAGGUGAAAUUCGUAGAUAUUCGCAGGAACACCAGUGGCGAAGGCGGCUAACUGGUCCAUAACUGACGCUGAGGUGCGAAAGCGUGGGGAGCAAACAGGAUUAGAUACCCCAGUAGUCCCUGUCUCUUAUAC